AGAACGAACGCUGGCGGCAUGCCUAACACAUGCAAGUCGAACGCGUGUAGCGAUACACGAGUGGCGGACGGGUGAGUAACGCGUGGGAACCUGCCCUGGAGUGUGGGAUAACCGAGGGAAACUUCGGCUAAUACCGCAUACGACCUGAGGGUGAAAGAUUUAUCGCUCUAGGAGGGGCCCGCGUCGGAUUAGCUAGUUGGUGGGGUAAAGGCCUACCAAGGCAGUGAUCCGUAGCUGGUCUGAGAGGAUGAUCAGCCACACUGGGACUGAGACACGGCCCAGACUCCUACGGGAGGCAGCAGUGGGGAAUAUUGGACAAUGGGGGCAACCCUGAUCCAGCAAUGCCGCGUGAGUGAUGAAGGCCUUAGGGUUGUAAAGCUCUUCGCGCGCGACGAUGAUGACGGUAGCGCGAGAAGAGCCCCGGCUAACUUCGUGCCAGCAGCCGC
This 446-nucleotide ribosomal RNA is filed under the name uncultured bacterium. RNAcentral describes it as "SSU rRNA". It matches the Rfam family "Bacterial small subunit ribosomal RNA", at positions 26 to 518 of the family's 1533-position model. The record is from RNAcentral.